Molecule: long non-coding RNA, 886 nt
Organism: Lucilia cuprina (Australian sheep blowfly)
Lineage: Eukaryota; Metazoa; Arthropoda; Insecta; Diptera; Calliphoridae
Exons: 2
Source: RefSeq, a predicted model, not a curated record
GCUUGUCGCGCGGUGCGGUUCGUUUUAUUAAUUUUAAACGUUACGGGAUAUUCCGGUAGGAUUAAAGAAUAUCACAUUUAUACAAAAAAAGUAAACAGCCACACAACAAACAAAUACGAAUGGAGUUUUUUUUAUGCUUUAAAUAAAUUUAUUUAAUAAAAAAAAUUUGUGAAAAUAUUGUCUGCGAAAGAAGUUGGUUUGAGCCACAAGAAAUAUGAAUGAAAUUGGAUACCAGAUCAAAAGAGUUGUUACAAAGUUUAAAACCGACUAACAAGUGCUAUUUUUUUUAUUAUUAAAAUAAAUAGAAAAAAAUAAACAAAACAGAUAAAAGAAGUGAGAAGUUAAAGUUUUAUGAUGAUAUAGAAUAAGAUAAUGAAGAGUAAAUGAUAAAAAAAAAGGGAGAGAGAGUGUUAGUGAGUGAGCGAGUGUUAAUAAAGAGGUGUCAAAAUCAUUAACAAAAACAACAAAUACAAAGAAAAUAUACCGGCAAUUUUAAUGCUUUUUUGUGUGUAGCAACAAUAACAAAGCAGCUAUUUGUAAACUUUUUGUGCAAAACCUCGCCGAUCAGAAAACAAAAGAGUGCCUUUUUUCACCCAGUUUAUAGGUAGAAGUUGAAAGAAAAACAUCACCCCCUUUUUAUUGCUUUUUUAUGCAAAAAUAAAUUGAAACCAACCAACCAGCCAGCCAGUCAGCCAUCCACUCCCUAAUCAAGCUGACUCAGUCUGCUGAACCAACAGCCAAAACAUCCAUUUAACUAACAACGAACCCUAAACUAUACAACAACGUUAAUAAAAGGGGAAAAUAAGAAAAAAAAUAUACAAAAAACAUUUUGCUAUAAAAACAAGCAAUAAAACAACAACUACAACAAACAAUAACAAGCCACCCC